CUCACACGGCUUUGUUUACGUUACUGGGGGGUACCUACUCAACGAGCAUUCCUCAAAAUGUCAAAAAUAGAGUUGCUGAGAUUGUUUCUCAACGAACGAUUGACAGCUGCUGCUGAUGAGAUAUUUGGGACAAUUGAAAAGACGAUUGUAGAGUACCAGGAAGAAGUGUCCCGCACGAAAGAUGAGAACAACCGUCUACGGAGGAUGCUAAGGUUACAAAAAACAGACUCCCAGCCGCUGACUGUCUCUGACGAGGAUCUUCCCCCUGAGCAGCAGCACUGUGAGCAGGAGUGGAGCCCAAGUCUGGAACAAGAUGGUCCAGAGGCCACACAGAUUAAAAAGGAGCAGGAGGAACUCCGGACCAGUCGGAGGGAAGAGCAACUUCAAUGGCUAGAGUCUGGUACCAAAGACUUCACAUUCAGUCCUGCCUGUUUGAAAAGUAACUAUGAUCCGAUUCAGAACCCAACUCAUUCAUCACAUCUUCACCAAGUACAAAGUGAAGAAAGCAGAGAGAACCCAACUCAUUCAUCACCUCUUGACCAAAUACAAAGUGAGACAAACAGUGAGAACCCAAGUCAGUCCUUAUACCUUCACCAAAUAGAAAGUGAGGAAGAUGGAGAGAACCCGGCAGCUCAGUCCUCAUAUCUUUACCAAAUACAAAGUCAGGAAAACCGAGAGAAACCGUGGCAAUGCCGUGUUUGUGACAAAUGUUUCAACAAUAUUCAUCAUCUGAAAGCGCAUGUGAGGAGUCACACAGGGGAGAGACCGUAUAAGUGUCCUAUAUGUAGAAAAUGCUUUAUGACAACAAGCGCAUUGAAUAGACAUCAGACAAUUCACACUGAUGGAAAGCCGUUUAGGUGUAAUUAUUGCGGCAAAUCCUUCAAAUGGAUGAACUCCCUUGGAAGGCACAUAAGGAUUACCCACGAGAGGGAGAAUAUAUGACAUUUCCUGGUGUGGGGAAAGGGCAAUAGUUGUUCUGAAAAAGUUACAUCCGGAUGCUUUUUAUAUACUAUUGCCAUAUAAUAUUAUAAUAUGCCAUAUGCUAUUGCCAUAUAAUUACACUAUAACAAAAGUGAACACUAUGUUAUAGUUAAUUAUAUGAUAUCUAUGGCUAUUGUGUGUGUGUGUGUGUGUGUGUAUGUGUGUGUGUUUUUACAUGUUUGUAACCACUUUCCCAGGGACUACAGAUGGAAAUAUACAUAAGUCUUGAUCAAUGUGCAUUAUCUUUGUCAAAUAAAUCAAAUAAGGUGUAUCUUACACCUAUCUGUGCAUAAAUAUUGUUUUUGUCUUGUUCAUAUGGUGUAAUGUCACAUCUGUUUUGAUUUGUGUUUUGUCCUUUUCCUUCAGUGAUCACAAGAGCCAAAACAUUUUCCAUAUGCCUACAUUACUGUCAUUUUUUUUCUUUACCUCAGUGAUCUUUCUGUGCACAAUUGGAGGCAAAAAAUAAAAAAAUGUAACACACGAAA
Oncorhynchus masou masou (cherry salmon) is the source of this 1466-nucleotide long non-coding RNA. RefSeq lists it as uncharacterized. NCBI's taxonomy places the organism in Eukaryota, Metazoa, Chordata, Actinopteri, Salmoniformes, Salmonidae. The transcript is spliced from 2 exons. The record is from RefSeq and is a predicted model, not a curated record.